This 308-nucleotide ribosomal RNA is filed under the name Belisana sp. Mal76. Its description in RNAcentral is "partial 12S ribosomal RNA". The record is from RNAcentral. Lineage: Eukaryota; Metazoa; Arthropoda; Arachnida; Araneae; Pholcidae.
AGUAGUAUCCUAAUAAAAAACUCAUGUAUACUGGCGGUCUUAUUCUAUUAGAGAAACUCGCUUAUUAAUCGAUACAACCCGCUUAAUUUCACUUAAUUUUCAUAAUUUAUAUACCGCCGUUAUAAGACUCAAUUAAAAAAUAAGCCUCAAAAAAUAUUAACACAUUUAAAAUCAGGUCAAGGUGUAAUCUAUAAUUAAGAUUAAGUAAGUUACUAAUAAGAAAAACUUAAGGGAUAUAAAAAAUUCAACCUCUAAAAAAGAAUUUAUAUGUACAUUUAAAAUAAAAACUUAUUUCGAAAAACAAAACU